AACGAACGCUGGCGGCAGGCCUAACACAUGCAAGUUGAACGUGAAGCCACUUCGGUGGUGGAAAGUAGCGCACGGGUGAGUAACACGUGGGAAUUUACACUUCAGUACGGAACAACAGUUGGAAACGACUGCUAAUACCGUAUAAUGACUCCGGUCCAAAGAUUUAUCGCUGAAGGAUAAGCCCGCGUCUGAUUAGCUAGUUGGUGAGGUAAUGGCUCACCAAGACAAUGACGCCUAACUGGUUUGAGAGGAUGAUCAGUCACACUGGAACUGAGACACGGUCCAG
Molecule: ribosomal RNA, 286 nt
Filed under: uncultured bacterium
Lineage: Bacteria
Description: partial 16S ribosomal RNA
Rfam family: Bacterial small subunit ribosomal RNA
Source: RNAcentral